UGGGGAAUAUUGCGCAAUGGCCGAAAGGCUGACGCAGCGACGCCGCGUGUGGGAGGAAGCCUUUCGGGGUGUAAACCACUGUCAGGGGGGAAGAACUCCGGGUGUGGAAAUACUUCAUCCGGUUGACGGUACCCCCAGAGGAAGCGCCGGCUAACUCCGUGCCAGCAGCCGCGGUAAGACGGAGGGCGCAAGCGUUGAUCGGAUUUACUGGGCGUAAAGCGCACGCAGGCGGCCUUUUAAGUCCUUUGUGAAGGCCCGGGGCUGAACUCCGGAACAGCAGAGGAUACUGGAAGGCUGGAGAUCGGUAGAGGCUAGCGGAAUUUCUGGUGUAGCGGUGGAAUGCGUAGAUAUCAGAAAGAACACCUGUGGCGAAGGCGGCUAGCUGGGCCGAUUCUGACGCUCAUGUGCGAAAGCGUGGGGAGCAAACAGGAUUAGAUACC
This 440-nucleotide ribosomal RNA is filed under the name uncultured prokaryote. RNAcentral's name for it is "bacterial SSU rRNA". It matches the Rfam family "Bacterial small subunit ribosomal RNA", at positions 355 to 786 of the family's 1533-position model. The record is from RNAcentral.